RNAcentral lists this ribosomal RNA (253 nucleotides) under uncultured bacterium. Its description in RNAcentral is "partial 16S ribosomal RNA". It matches the Rfam family "Bacterial small subunit ribosomal RNA", at positions 524 to 776 of the family's 1533-position model. The record is from RNAcentral.
UACGUAGGGGGCAAGCGUUGUCCGGAAUCAUUGGGCGUAAAGAGCGCGUAGGCGGUCCGGUAAGUCGGCUGUGAAAGUCCAGGGCUCAACCCUGGGAUGCCGGUCGAUACUGCCGGACUAGAGUUCGGAAGAGGCGAGUGGAAUUCCCGGUGUAGCGGUGAAAUGCGCAGAUAUCGGGAGGAACACCUAUGGCGAAGGCAGCUCGCUGGGACGUUACUGACGCUGAGACGCGAAAGCGUGGGGAGCAAACAGG